RNAcentral lists this ribosomal RNA (465 nucleotides) under uncultured bacterium. Its description in RNAcentral is "partial 16S ribosomal RNA". It matches the Rfam family "Bacterial small subunit ribosomal RNA", at positions 28 to 507 of the family's 1533-position model. The record is from RNAcentral.
GACGAACGCUGGCGGCGUGCUUAACACAUGCAAGUCGAACGGAAAGGCCCCUUUGGGGGUACUCGAGUGGCGAACGGGUGCGUAACACGUGAGUAACCUGCCCUUGACUUCGGGAUAACUUCAGGAAACUGGGGCUAAUACCGGAUAGGAAUCCUUGCUGCAUGGUGGGGGUUGGAAAGCUUCGGCGGUUUUGGAUGGACUCGCGGCUUAUCAGCUUGUUGGUGGGGUAGUGGCUUACCAAGGCUUUGACGGGUAGCCGGCCUGAGAGGGCGACCGGCCACAUUGGGACUGAGGGACGGCCCAGACUCCUACGGGAGGCAGCAGGGGGGAAUAUUGCACAAGGGGCGGAAGCCUGAUGCAGCAACGCCGCGUGCGGGAUGACGGCCUUCGGGUUGUAAACCGCUUUCAGCAGGGGCGAAGCUUGUGGUGACGGUACCUGCAGAAGAAGCACCGGCUAACUACGUG